Molecule: ribosomal RNA, 467 nt
Filed under: uncultured bacterium
Lineage: Bacteria
Description: partial 16S ribosomal RNA
Rfam family: Bacterial small subunit ribosomal RNA
Source: RNAcentral
GACGAACGCUGGCGGCGUGCUUAACACAUGCAAGUCGAACGAUGACGCCCGAGCUUGCUCGGUCUGAUUAGCGGCGAACGGGUGAGUAACACGUGAGCAACCUGCCCUUCACUCUGGGAUAACCUCGGGAAAUCGGGGCUAAUACCGGAUAUGAGCUCCUGUCGCAUGGCGGGCGUUGGAAAGUUUUUCCGUGCUGGAUUGGCUCGCGGGCUAUCGGUUUGUUUGUUGGGUAGUGGCUCACCCAGGCGAUGGCAGGUAGCCGGCCUGGGAGGGGGGCCGGCCACCCUGGGACUAAGGGACGGCGCAGACUCGUACGGGAGGCAGCAGGGGGAAGGAUUGCACAACGGGAGCAAGCCGGAGGAAGCGACGCUGCGGGAGGGAUGACCGCCUGCGGGUAGUAAACCUCAGUCGGCAAGGAAGAAGCGGAAGUGACGGUACCUGCAGAAGAAGCACCGGCUAACUACGUG